Molecule: non-coding RNA, 6248 nt
Organism: Podarcis lilfordi (Lilford's wall lizard)
Lineage: Eukaryota; Metazoa; Chordata; Lepidosauria; Squamata; Lacertidae
Source: the annotation of a GenBank genome assembly
GGAGCCAGGGAUCAAGCGCUGGCAGCUCACAACAGGGGGGAGGGCACGAGUCAGGAGUGGCCACACCUCCAUCGGGGAGCGAAGAAACGGUCAGACGGAAGGUGGAAGGUUGGGCGCGCGCGCCAAGUUCAAAUGCACAGGAAGGUGGCACAGUAGGCAGCCCGGAAGGGAGCCAGGUCCUAAAGCCCGCCGAAAGGAGGGAGAAGAGUCAGGGGUCAGCGUCAGCGUCAGAGGAAUCCCGGAAAGAAGAGACCCCAGGGGGCAGAGGGACCCAGAGAAGAACAGUCAGGCGGAAAAGGUGGAGCAGGGCUAGUAUAUUAAGUUGGUUUACAAGGGCGGAGACUCAGACGGAGCUUCGCCGGUCUAACCAUGAGACGUAGAGUUGCACGCAGCAGUUUGAGAAUGGAAACUGUAACUCAAUAAAGACUUUUGUUUAAUGAUCGCUGGCUAGCGUGAUCCUCUGUGAGCUAGGAUCUGGAAGCAGCUCUGACAGUAAGCUCCGUCUCCAUAAAUUGUGGGCAUCUACAGCCUCGCGGAGAGGAGAGAAAGCGGGUGCCUACUAGCGAGCUCACGAAAGGCAGACAAUAUGACGGCCGAACAGCAGAUAGCGGAACUCAGAGAAGCAGUGUCACGACUGAAUGCCGAGGCUCUUGCAUCCAGGAAGAGAGAGGAGGACGCAGCUGCCGCCUACAGGGAUCUCCAGGUCAGGUUGGAAGUGCUUACGAAGCAAGGGCAACUGACACCCAAACCGGACGGGAUUGGGUUGGGGAGACGAACAGGCGGUCUGGUCUCUCACUUCGAUGGGAAUUUGCAACAGUACCCCAACUUUAGAGCAGAUGUAAUGUGUGCACUGCAACUGCUGGACAAAGACUUUAGAGAUGAGCAAGAGAAGGUGGGAUUCAUCAUGUCCCAUUUGCAUGGAGAUGCUAAAGCAUGGCUGCGCAAUUUGUGGAGAGAUAAGGAUCCGGCGCUCCAAAAUGCGGAUGCCUUUAUUAAAGCGAUGGAUGGGUGCUUUUUAUCAAGCAUUGACGUGGAUCUUGCUCGGCAGCAGAUACAUGGACUGAAGCAAGGGAGGGCCAGCGUAAGGCAGUACCAUGCCCGCUUUUUCGCUUUGGUCAGUGCUCUGGAAUGGGACAGAGAUUCGGCUCCUGUAAGAGACCUGUUUUGGGAGGGAUUGCACGGCUCGGUUAAAGAUGAAAUUGCGAGGGGAGAGACCCCGGACCACGCAGGAGAUCGUUCAGAGGGCGCUGGCGGUGGGGGUGCGGCUGGAAGAACGUCCGUGGAGCAGGGACGAAGGGCGUGGAGGGCGCGAACCAGCCAGGGGCUCCUCCUUCCUUCCCAGAGAAGCAGCGCGUGCGCAAUCCACGCCUCCGCCAGGAGGAGGAGCGGAACCUAUGGAGGUUGGAGGUGCAAGGGCUCAGUCAGCAGCCAGAGCCCUAGCACCGGCAGCAGUGAGAGCGAAGCCUCCUAGAGGGAACAGGAAGUGUUACAUCUGCGAUGCUCCACAGCAUAUGGCGAAAGAGUGUCCCCAGAGGCUCCACAAGCACACUGCAGCUUCAGCAAUGGUAACUGCAGCAACGCAGCAAGGAGAACCACAGCAGGGAAACGACGGAGUCUGGUUGGAGGAAGAGGCACUGGGGCCCAGCCAGACGUGUCAGUGAAGCAGUCCCCAGAGAUUUUACAGCCCAUGGACCCCCUCCCGCCCAAACCAGUAGUGAGGCUCACCGCGUCGCUCCAGCUGCCCAAUGGAAUCACCAUGGACGUGCCAAUCACCAUUGACUCCGGAAGCAAUGCGGACUUUAUAGGGCAGGACUUUGUCGACCGGCACGCUAUACAGUUGCUGCCUGCCACGCUGCCCCUGCAGGUUGUCACGGUGGAUGGCAGGGAGCUGCUAGGGGGGCAAGUGGUGAAGCAGACGCCACCAAUGGUGAUGCGGCUUGGGAAUCACAGGGAAAUCAUCAGCUUCAAUGUCACUCAACUAUCGGACACGCCCAUUGUAUUGGGCAUGAGUUGGCUGGACAAGCACAGCCCGACGCUGGCUUGGUACCAGAGGCAGCUGACCUUCGGCUCUUCCUUUUGCGCUGAACACUGCAUCGUGCCCCGGCAGGAAGGAGAGGAAGAGGAGUCACAGCUGCAGCUAGGCACGCUGCAAGCGGUUCCCCACAAGUACGCAGAAUUUUUGGAGGUUUUCUGCGAGAAGGAGGCAGACAGGCUACCCCCCCACAGACCAUAUGACUGCAAAAUUGACCUGCUGCCGGGCGGCGCUGCCCAAAGGGAAGCUGUAUUCCAUGUCUGAGGACGAACUGCAGGAACUCAAAGAGUUCAUAGAUCAUAAUUUGGAGCGCUGUUCAAAAUGCGAUAGUCCACUACAAGUCUUUUCUGGGGCAGUCCGGUAUUCUUUGUUAAGAAGCGGGACACGCCCCAGAAAAGACUUGUAGUGGACUAUCGCAUUUUGAACAGCGUGACCAAGCCAUCGGACUUCCCCAUGCCCCGAAUCGACGACCUCCUCGCAAAGGUACGGAAGGGCAGCGUGUUCACUAAGUUGGACCUGCGAGGGCGUACAACCUCAUUCGCAUGCGGGAAGGAGAUGAGUGGAAGACAGCCAUGUUCACGCCCCUGGGCACCUACGAAUAUAGAGUUAUGCCUUUUGGAUUGCAAAAUGGUUCCCACUUUUUCAAGCGUUCAUGCAUCACGUGUUGGCGGGGCUCCUCUACAAGACGUGCGUCUGUUUCUUGGAUGACAUCCUGAUCUUUUCGGAAUCGCAGCAGGAGCAUGACAGACACGUCAAGGAAGUGCUGAGCAGGCUACAGCAACAUAGGCUUUACGCCAAGCUGGAGAAGUGCCAAUUCGACGUGACGGAGGUGGAUUUCCUGGGCUACAAGUUGUCUGAUAAAGGGCUCGCCAUGGACAGCGCCAAGGUCCGAGCAGUGUUGGAUUGGAAAAGCCCACGCAACCGGAAGGAGGUCCAACGGUUUGUCGGCUUUGCGAACUUCUAUCGCAAGUUUAUCAAAGGCUUUGCCAUGCAGACAGCGGCCAUCACGGACACGCUCAGCUCCAAGAAAAGAAGUUCAUCUGGACAGAGCAGGCGGAGCAGUCCUUUCCAGGCACUCAAGCGUCUCUUCGCGUCGGAAGGGCAACUGCUUCAUGUCAACCCCAGCAAGCCGAUGAGGGUGGAGACAGACGCUUCGGACAGAGCCGUGGGAGCAGUCCUGCUGCAGAAGGACCCGCAGGGGGUUUGGAGGCCGGGAGCGUUUUACUCAAGGAAGCUCAGCAAGUCCGAACAGAACUACACCAUCUGGGACAGGGAGUUGCUGGCCAUUCAUGCAGCGUUCAAAGCGUGGAGGCACUUCCUGAUCGGCGCCAAGCACACGGUGCAGGUCUGCACGGACCACAAGAAUCUAGAGCACUGGCGCACGGCACAGUUCCUGAACCAGAGGCAGAUACGUUGGGCUGAGUUCUUUGCGAAUUUCGACUUCCGAAUAGAGUAUGUCCCGGGGGACACCAACAUCAUGGCGGAUGCUCUCUCCCGUAAGCCGCAGUAUCUGGAGGAGGCAACGCCAGCGGCCGCCAUGCACAUCUUCGCACCGACAGUGUGGGCGUGCACGGCGGCAACAGUUGACCUGGAGGCGGUGCGACGAGCGUUGCAGGAUGACUCCUUCGCGCAAGCAAAGAUGGCAGAGGCGCACAGGGGCACGGCAGCGACCGACGAGUUCCAGCUGCGAGAUGGUUUGCUCAUCCGUAAAGGGGCCAUCUACGUGCCGGGAGACGAACUUCGCGCCAAGGUACUGCAGCAGCUGCACGACGCGCCCACUGCCGGGCACUUUGGCAAGGAGAAGACGGUGGAAUUAGUAGCCAGAGACUUCUGGUGGCCAGGAAUGAGGGGAAGUCGCGGACUACGUGGCGAGGUGUGACACCUGCCAGAGGGCCAAACCAGUGCACAGACCGCCGGCCGGAUUGCUGGAACCGCUGCAAACUCCGUUCGAACCAUGGGAGAGAGUGGCCCUGGACUUUGUCACGGAUCUGCCCAGCUCGAGGGGCAAGACGGCUGUGCUGGUGGUGGUGGACUUGUUCUCCAAGAUGGCACAUUUCAUUCCGUGUGCGAAGGUGGCCACGGCGGAACAAACCGCCAAACUGUUCAUAGACCACGUGUUCAAGGUUCACGGUCUGCCGCGGUCUAUUCUGUCCGACCGAGGGCGACAGUUCAUCUCGAACUUCUGGCAGAGGCUGAUGGGCUUCCUGAACGUCAAGAUCAACCUGGCGUCGGCUAGACACCCGCAGACCAAUGGGCAAGCGGAGCGGAGUCAAUGCCAUCAUGCAGCAGUACCUGAGAUGUUAUGCGAAUCAACAGCCUGCGACGUGGGUGGAUUACCUGCCUCUCGCCGAGUUCGCCUACAACAACACGAAGCACGUGUCCACGGGGGUCACGCCGUUCUUCGCCAACAACGGGAGGCACCCCAGAACCUUCCCGGGACUGGAAAGAAUGGGGGAGGGGAGCCGCAGACAGCAGAUGCAUUCGCGUCGGAGUUGCAGGAGGUCCACGAUCAGCUGCGGCGGCACCUGGAGCUGGCUAAACACGCAUACAAGGUACAAGCGGACAAACACAGAAGGGUUGGCGAAGAGAUCCAUGUGGGAGACUGGGUCUGGUUAGCAGCCCACGCAGUGGCGGCCCGGUCGUUGGCGAAGAAGAAACUAGGGCAUAAACAACUGGGGCCCUACCAAGUCGAAGAACAGGUCAACCCGGUGGCUUUCAGGCUGGCUCUUCCGGAGGGUUCCAGGAUGCAUCCGGUGUUCCACAGAUCGGUGCUCACUCCAUACAAGGCACCUCACAGGUUUCAGGAACCAGGAACGGCACCGGGUCCGCUCCGAGAGAGAACCGGGCAGGGGGGAGUGGCACGGGAGGAGCGCAUCAACGAAGCCACGGAGAUUUUGGACUCCAGAUGGGGGAAGAGGGGGUAGAAUACCUUCUCGCCAAGGAGGGCACCCCGGCCAGUGCCAACAGCUGGGUGCCGGGCUACGCUUUAGACGAACCUCUGCUCAAAGAAGAGUUUCAUGCCCUCUUCCCACAUAGGCCAAUGCCAGCAGACUUUUUCGACGACUGGCUUUUCACGCCCACGCUUUCAGCCAGCACGUUCCGGGGUUCGACUCGGACGAGGAACCGACACGAGACGCCCGUUCCCCGGAGGAGUCACCCUCGGGAUCUGCUUCAGAACCCUCGUAUUGGUGGGAUGAUCGACCAGAGGAGCAGUUCCGCAGAAGGUGGCUGGAGGGUCCAGGACGAGCAACGUCUCCAGAAGGUAACGAGGGAGAGACGGACAUGGACGUUUUCGGGGACGACCCGGGUUUCGAGCACGGCGGCACAGAGAUGGAAGCGGAGGUGACCGUCGUCAACGAGAGCAGGGAGGAAGAACCGGAAGACUUCAGAUGGCGGCCCGCCACGGGAAGCGAACUGUAUCCGACAUUCGUCCCCUGACACGGCAGCACCCAGAUCCCGCACCGGAAGGAGGGGAGGGGGGAAGAGGGGGGGUCGCGGGGGGGGUGGAUGUCAGGGGUUCAGGAGCAGAGGCAAGGGCAAGGGAGGAAACAGAGAGCGAGGGGGAGGAGGCAGAAGAAAAGAUGAGUGAGGACGACGACCCGAGAUCUCCGAGUCUUUCCAGUGAAUCAGAAGAUUCACAGAAAGGAGCACCAGUGGCCAGGGCAAGGGGGGAGCCUAGGGGACGCCCCAGGAAGAUAGAGCCAGAGGGGACUCAGAGGGGAGCAGUUGGAAAUCGGGACCAGCGUCACCGCCAGAGAGCAGGGAAGAGGAAGGGAGCCAGGGAUCAAGCGCUGGCAGCUCACAACAGGGGGGAGGGCACGAGUCAGGAGUGGCCACACCUCCAUCGGGGAGCGAAGAAACGGUCAGACGGAAGGUGGAAGGUUGGACGCGCGCGCCAAGUUCAAAUGCACAGGAAAGUGGCACAGUAGGCAGCCCGGAAAGGGAGCCAGGUCCUAAAGCCCGCCGAAAGGAGGGAGAAGAGUCAGGGGUCAGCGUCAGCGUCAGAGGAAUCCCGGAAAGAAGAGACCCCAGGGGGCAGAGGGACCCAGAGAAGAACAGUCAGGCGGAAAAGGUGGAGCAGGGCUAGGAUAUUAAGUUGGUGUACAAGGGGCGGAGACUCAGACGGAGCUUCGCCGGUCUAACCAUGAGACGUAGAGUUGCACGCAGCAGUUUGAGAAUGGAAACUGUAACUCAAUAAAGACUUUUGUUUAAUGAU